GAUGAACGCUGGCGGCGUGCCUAAUACAUGCAAGUCGAGCGAACAGACGAGGAGCUUGCUCCUCUGACGUUAGCGGCGGACGGGCGAGUAACACGUGGAUAACCUACCUAUAAGACUGGGAUAACUUCGGGAAACCGGAGCUAAUACCGGAUAAUAUAUUGAACCGCAUGGUUCAAUAGUGAAAGACGGUUUUGCUGUCACUUAUAGAUGGAUCCGCGCCGCAUUAGCUAGUUGGUAAGGUAACGGCUUACCAAGGCGACGAUGCGUAGCCGACCUGAGAGGGUGAUCGGUCACACUGGAACUGAGACACGGUCCAGACUCCUACGGGAGGCAGCAGUAGGGAAUCUUCCGCAAUGGGCGAAAGCCUGACGGAGCAACGCCGCGUGAGUGAUGAAGGUCUUCGGAUCGUAAAACUCUGUUAUUAGGGAAGAACAAAUGUGUAAGUAACUAUGCACGUCUUGACGGUACCUAAUCAGAAAGCCACGGCUAACUACGUG
RNAcentral lists this ribosomal RNA (497 nucleotides) under uncultured bacterium. Its description in RNAcentral is "partial 16S ribosomal RNA". It matches the Rfam family "Bacterial small subunit ribosomal RNA", at positions 28 to 507 of the family's 1533-position model. The record is from RNAcentral.